AAAUAAAUUAUUGACAUAAUUAAUUAUUCAUGUUACAAUUUGACAAUAUAGAUAAACCUUAAUCUUUCUUUGCAAUUGUCAUGUGGGAAUCAUGAUUAAUUAUUUUAUUUUAACAUAAUUUUAAUUUAUUUUAUAUGGUAAUUUAAUAUUUUUAUAUGGAGAUCAUUACACAAAUAAUAUGGUCUGCAGUGCAAUUGGCAAAUAAUGCUACAAGCAUUAGAUAGAUCCAGGUUUGAGUCUCCUAGCAAGCAACCUUCCUAAUUUUUCACUGGUUUCUUGCCAGUUCACACUUGUGACUCGUCAACUUCGGUUUUCAGAGAAAGAGGGUUUUACACUUGAACUGGACUUGUCAUUGAUCCGUUUCCCUGUGCAACUGGCUGGUCCGGUCUAGUUCUGACAACAAUGGUUUCAGAUGUUUUAAAAUGAUUUUCUUUAUGAUUUAUUUUUCUUAUUAUUAUUUUUCAAAGCAUUAUUGCUGAGGCUAAUCUUUUAUAUUCAUUAUUUGUUUUUACUUGAGCUUUUGUGAAGUUUCAAUGUAAUUUGCUUUUCCCAUUGGUGGUUUGUUAUUCACAUGUGUACUGAUCUGUUUGUGCUACCAUAUUUAACUUUUCCAGUUGCUUGUUUGCUGAGUUGAAAAAUCACAUCAGUUAAAAUCAAUGAUCGUGGUUGUGACAUGUUCAUUUUGGGUUGUGUUGUUUUCGGAGAUCAGUAUUUCUUGAAAAAAAGCAUAUGGGAAUGAACACCUGCUGCGUCUCUCAUUUAUUUAUUUAUUUAUUUUAGAACUGUUUUUAUGCUUUUGAAUUCACGGCUCUUUAUAGUAUUUACUGUUUUAAAAUGAGUUGAAAUGGUUCAUCAUAUUAUUUGACUGUGUUGGUUUAUAGGAAGGUGAAGCUGCUACUGAGGAAGCGAAGAAGAGUAACCAUGUCUUGAGAAAGCUGGAGAAGAGA
This 947-nucleotide unclassified non-coding RNA is filed under the name Hevea brasiliensis (rubber tree). The record is from RNAcentral. Lineage: Eukaryota; Viridiplantae; Streptophyta; Magnoliopsida; Malpighiales; Euphorbiaceae.